This 506-nucleotide ribosomal RNA is filed under the name uncultured bacterium. RNAcentral's name for it is "partial 16S ribosomal RNA". It matches the Rfam family "Bacterial small subunit ribosomal RNA", at positions 28 to 523 of the family's 1533-position model. The record is from RNAcentral.
GAUGAACGCUAGCUACAGGCUCAACACAUGCAAGUCGAGGGGUAACGAGAGGAAAGCUUGCUUUCCUUGUCGACGACCGGCGCACGGGUGAGUAACGCGUAUCCAACCUGCCCCCAACUAGGGAAUAACCUUGCGAAAGUAAGACUAAUACCCUAUAAUUUCCUCAGAUGCCAUCUGACGAGGAAUAAAGAUUUAUCGGUUGUGGAUGGGGAUGCGUCUGAUUAGCUUGUUGGCGGGGUAACGGCCCACCAAGGCAACGAUCAGUAGGGGUUCUGAGAGGAAGGUACCCCACAUUGGAACUGAGACACGGUCCAAACUCCUACGGGAGGCAGCAGUGAGGAAUAUUGGUCAAUGGGCGGAAGCCUGAACCAGCCAAGUAGCGUGCAGGAUGACGGCCCUAUGGGUUGUAAACUGCUUUUAUACAGGAAUAAAGUUAGCCACGUGUGGUUAUUUGUAGGUACUGUAUGAAUAAGGACCGGCUAAUUCCGUGCCAGCAGCCGCAGUAA